CCGUGAUAAAGUAGCAUAAUCACUCGUCAUUUAAUUGGUGACUGGAAUGAAUGGUUACACGAAUCUUUAACUGUCUCAAGAAGAAAGUUCAAUUAAUUUGAAAAAACAGUGAAGAUGCUGUUAACAAAAUUGUAAGACGAAAAGACCCUUUCGAGCUUUACUAUAAGCUUAUAGAAAAAAUCUUUAAUAAAAAUAUAAUAAAAACAAACUGUAAGCUAGUUAGUUUGGUUGGGGCGACCACCUCUAAAACAGUAUCAGAGGAAAUCUAAAGGUAUAAUAGUAAUAUUAAUUGCCUUACUGUAUACAAACAAGUUAAUCAGUUACUAUUAUGUAGGAUAUAGUGACCCGUUGAAUUAAUUUCAAAAUUCAACGACCAUGAAAAAAGUUACCGUAGGGAUAACAGGGUAAUAUUAUCAAAGAGUUCAUAUCGAUGAUGAU
RNAcentral lists this ribosomal RNA (438 nucleotides) under Nemopilema nomurai. Its description in RNAcentral is "partial 16S ribosomal RNA". It matches the Rfam family "Bacterial large subunit ribosomal RNA", at positions 1946 to 2515 of the family's 2925-position model. Lineage: Eukaryota; Metazoa; Cnidaria; Scyphozoa; Rhizostomeae; Rhizostomatidae. The record is from RNAcentral.